Non-coding RNA from Domibacillus antri, 86 nucleotides. NCBI's taxonomy places the organism in Bacteria, Bacillati, Bacillota, Bacilli, Caryophanales, Bacillaceae. The record is from Rfam.
GAACGCCGUAUGACACCGAAAGGGUCACGUAUGGUGUGGGACGGGGGAAAAGCUGGAGAUGAUUUCAAAGGCUUACCUAUCGUCAU